AAACAAGUUUGGUGUUUAUGACGUCGAUAUUCGACGUCGUAAACACGAACAAGUUUGGUGUUUAUGACGUCGAAUAUCGACGUCAUAAACACAAACA
This is a non-coding RNA of Paramuricea clavata, 97 nucleotides long. The record is from the annotation of a GenBank genome assembly. Lineage: Eukaryota; Metazoa; Cnidaria; Anthozoa; Malacalcyonacea; Plexauridae.